AGAACGAAUAUGCCAUUUUCUCUGGAUGAACUGCAAUCCAGACAUUUUAAGGUUUCUUAAAAAUUGAGGAUAACUCCGUUUCAAAGUACUGCCGCAUCGUUGUGUUUCUUGCGGCUCUAAAUCACUUUCUGAGUGUGAACAAGGCUGGCCGCACAGUCUCCAGCGGUCAAAAGAGCACCCCCGUUCCAUCACCCCGUGGUGCUGUUGCUGCUUCCUGCCAGUUCUCUACAAAAACCCAGAGUGAAGACAAGUGUCAGCUCUUACCUAAAAGCACACGCACAAGACGGGCAGGUCAGUGGAAUCCUCGCGGGGAUCCUCUCCACAUGGGGCUGAGACACCUGGUCCUUAGAGACUUCGUGUAUAGGACAGUUGAUCUUCGUCGAGGCAGGAGACUUAGCUCCGCCUUCUGUUUUGAAGACAUAGGAUAUAUUUUCUGAACCUGAAUACCCAGUUCAAUAGAGAGCUUGUAGUUACCCAGGUGACGGCUGGAUUCUCCUGAUAAGGCCAUUGCUUUCUUUCUGUGUGGCCAUGGCCUACGGGCUUCCAUACAGCCCACAUGUCCCUGCCCUGUGCCCCAGAUUCCCUCCUCAAGCAGCAAAAACAAACUUCCCUGCAUUCCAAGCAAAAUGGAAAGAAACGGAAGACUUCGAAAAGACUUUGAAUUGCUUAUUAGAAGUCUGAACUCU
This is a long non-coding RNA of Myotis myotis, 686 nucleotides long. RefSeq lists it as uncharacterized. NCBI's taxonomy places the organism in Eukaryota, Metazoa, Chordata, Mammalia, Chiroptera, Vespertilionidae. The transcript is spliced from 3 exons. The record is from RefSeq and is a predicted model, not a curated record.